CAUUGCCCUCAAUAUGAUCUAGAGAGAACACAUCAAGAUGAGCCCUUGAUCUAGAGAGAACACAUCAAGAUGAGCCCUUGAACUCUCUCCUCGAGGAGAUAUAGCCAUAUAGGGGAUCCGCUAAGACGAGAACAUGAGUGCCAUCACAUGGCCAAACAUCUCUUGCUGUGUUUGCCACGUGUGUCGACUCGAUCUUGAGAUUUGAGAGUAAUUACAUGCAUCUCACUGUCGAUGAUGGACAUAUCGCCUACCACUAAAGAACAAUUAGCUGUAAAUGAAAGUACACGUAUUAAGUGGAACACUCAAACCCGACUGGAUAAUUAAGUUCCAUCACAAAGAACCUAGUCAUCUAAGCUUUGCAUGUGACUAAACACUCUCGCCCUCUUGAGCCC
This 392-nucleotide long non-coding RNA is filed under the name Setaria viridis. RNAcentral's name for it is "long non-coding RNA (SVIR_LNC005922)". The record is from RNAcentral. Lineage: Eukaryota; Viridiplantae; Streptophyta; Magnoliopsida; Poales; Poaceae.